UAGUGGCGGACGGGUGAGUAACGCGUGGGUAACCUGCCUCAUACAGGGGGAUAACAGUUGGAAACGGCUGCUAAUACCGCAUAAGCGCACAGCAUCGCAUGAUGCAGUGUGAAAAACUCCGGUGGUAUAAGAUGGACCCGCGUUGGAUUAGCUGGUUGGUGGGGUAACGGCCCACCAAGGCGACGAUCCAUAGCCGGCCUGAGAGGGUGAACGGCCACAUUGGGACUGAGACACGGCCCAGACUCCUACGGGAGGCAGCAGUGGGGAAUAUUGCACAAUGGGGGAAACCCUGAUGCAGCGACGCCGCGUGAAGGAAGAAGUAUCUCGGUAUGUAAACUUCUAUCAGCAGGGAAGAUAGUGACGGUACCUGACUAAGAAGCCCCGGCUAACUACGUGCCAGCAGCCGCGGUAAUACGUAGGGGGCAAGCGUUAUCCGGAUUUACUGGGUGUAAAGGGAGCGUAGACGGUGUGGCAAGUCUGAUGUGAAAGGCAUGGGCUCAACCUGUGGACUGCAUUGGAAACUGUCAUACUUGAGUGCCGGAGGGGUAAGCGGAAUUCCUAGUGUAGCGGUGAAAUGCGUAGAUAUUAGGAGAAACACCAGUGGCGAAGGCGACCUACUGGGCACCAACUGACGCUGAGGCUCGAAAGCAUGGGUAGCAAACAGGAUUAGAUACCCUGGUAGUCCAUGCCGUAAACGAUGAUUACUAGGUGUUGGAGGAUUGACCCCUUCAGUGCCGCAGUUAACACAAUAAGUAAUCCACCUGGGGAGUACGACCGCAAGGUUGAAACUCAAAGGAAUUGACGGGGGCCCGCACAAGCAGUGGAGUAUGUGGUUUAAUUCGAAGCAACGCGAAGAACCUUACCAGGUCUUGACAUCCGAUGCAUAGCUUAGAGAUAAGUGAAGUCCUUCGGGACAUCGAGACAGGUGGUGCAUGGUUGUCGUCAGCUCGUGUCGUGAGAUGUUGGGUUAAGUCCCGCAACGAGCGCAACCCUUAUUGCCAGUUACUACGAAAGAGGACUCUGGCGAGACUGCCGUUGACAAAACGGAGGAAGGUGGGGAUGACGUCAAAUCAUCAUGCCCUUUAUGACCUGGGCUACACACGUACUACAAUGGCGUUUAACAAAGAGAAGCAAGACCGCGAGGUGGAGCAAAACUCAAAAACAACGUCUCAGUUCAGAUUGCAGGCUGCAACUCGCCUGCAUGAAGUCGGAAUUGCUAGUAAUCGCGGAUCAGCAUGCCGCGGUGAAUACGUUCCCGGGCCUUGUACACACCGCCCGUCA
RNAcentral lists this ribosomal RNA (1281 nucleotides) under uncultured bacterium. RNAcentral describes it as "partial 16S ribosomal RNA". It matches the Rfam family "Bacterial small subunit ribosomal RNA", at positions 93 to 1399 of the family's 1533-position model. The record is from RNAcentral.